UACGUAGGUGGCAAGCGUUGUUCGGAAUUAUUGGGCGUAAAGCGCACGUAGGCGGAUCGAUCAGUCAGGGGUGAAAUCCCAGAGCUCAACUCUGGAACUGCCUUUGAUACUGUCGAUCUGGAGUAUGGAAGAGGUGAGUGGAAUUCCGAGUGUAGAGGUGAAAUUCGUAGAUAUUCGGAAGAACACCAGUGGCGAAGGCGGCUCACUGGUCCGGUACUGACGCUGAGGUGCGAAAGCGUGGGGAGCAAACAGG
This 253-nucleotide ribosomal RNA is filed under the name uncultured bacterium. Its description in RNAcentral is "partial 16S ribosomal RNA". It matches the Rfam family "Bacterial small subunit ribosomal RNA", at positions 524 to 776 of the family's 1533-position model. The record is from RNAcentral.